GAUGAACGCUGGCGGCGUGCCUAAUACAUGCAAGUCGAGCGAACAGACGAUGAUCUUGCUCCUCUGACGUUAGCGGCGGACGGGUGAGUAACACGUGGAUAACCUACCUAUAAUACUGGGAUAACUUCGGGAAACCGGAGCUAAUACCGUAUAAUCUAUUGAACCGCAUGGGUCAAUAGUGAAAUACGGUUUUGCUGUCACUUAUAGAGGGAUCCGGGCCGCAUUAUGUAGUUGGGAAGUUAACGGCUUACCAAGGCAACGAUGCGUAGCCGACCUGAGAGGGGGAUCGGCCACACUGGAACUGAGACACGGUCCAGACGCCUACGGGAGGCCGAAGUAGGGAAUCUUCCGCACUGUGCGAAAGCCUGACGGAGCAACGCCGCGUGAGUGAUGCAGGGCCUCGGAUCGUAAAACGCUGUUAUUAGGGAAGACCAAAUGUGUAAGUAACUAUGCACGUCUUGACGGUACCUAAUCAGAAAGCCACGGCUAACUACGG
This 496-nucleotide ribosomal RNA is filed under the name uncultured bacterium. RNAcentral describes it as "partial 16S ribosomal RNA". It matches the Rfam family "Bacterial small subunit ribosomal RNA", at positions 28 to 506 of the family's 1533-position model. The record is from RNAcentral.